AAAGAAAUGAGUGCCAAAAGCAUCCCAAGGAAUACCUUUGUUUAUAACAUAUUAAUUGAUGGAUGGGCUCGACGAGGUGAUGUCUGGGAGGCUGCUGACCUGAUGCAACAAAUGAGGCAAGAAGGGGUUCAACCUGACAUCCAUACCUAUACUUCUUUCGUAAAUGCUUGUUGUAAAGCUGGAGACAUGCAGAAAGCGACAAACACAAUUCUAGAGAUGAAAAGGAUUGGGGUUAAACCUAAUGUUAAAACGUACACCACUCUCAUACACGGUUGGGCACGGGCUUCACUUCCUG
Molecule: unclassified non-coding RNA, 295 nt
Filed under: Hevea brasiliensis (rubber tree)
Lineage: Eukaryota; Viridiplantae; Streptophyta; Magnoliopsida; Malpighiales; Euphorbiaceae
Source: RNAcentral